ACACAAAAUGAGGGCACUUCCCGAUCUGUCUGGAAAGUGCUCCCACUUUGUGUGU
RNAcentral lists this microRNA precursor (55 nucleotides) under Canis lupus familiaris (dog). RNAcentral describes it as "Cfa-Mir-430-P7d1_pre stem-loop". The record is from RNAcentral. Lineage: Eukaryota; Metazoa; Chordata; Mammalia; Carnivora; Canidae.